This 497-nucleotide ribosomal RNA is filed under the name uncultured bacterium. RNAcentral describes it as "partial 16S ribosomal RNA". It matches the Rfam family "Bacterial small subunit ribosomal RNA", at positions 28 to 507 of the family's 1533-position model. The record is from RNAcentral.
GAUGAACGCUGGCGGCGUGCCUAAUACAUGCAAGUCGAGCGAACAGACGAGGAGCUUGCUCCUCUGACGUUAGCGGCGGACGGGUGAGUAACACGUGGAUAACCUACCUAUAGGACUGGGAUAACUUCGGGAAACCGGAGCUAAUACCGGAUAAUAUAUUGAACCGUAUGGUUCAAUAGUGAAAGACGGUUUUGCUGUCACUUAUAGAUGGAUCCGCGCCGCAUUAGCUAGUUGGUAAGGUAACGGCUUACCAAGGCAACGAUGCGUAGCCGACCUGAGAGGUUGAUCGGCCACACUGGAACUGAGACACGGUCCAGACUCCUACGGGAGGCAGCAGCAGGGAAUCUUCCGCAAUGGGCGAAAGCCUGACGGAGCAACGCCGCGUGAGUGAUGAAGGUCUUCGGAUCGUAAAACUCUGUUAUUAGGGAAGAACAAAUGUGUAAGUAACUAUGCACGUCUUGACGGUACCUAAUCAGAAAGCCACGGCUAGCUACGUG